GUGGCUAAAAUAAUCCUAAGUUCUCCUUAUUAGCUAUAGUUAUUAUCGCUUAUCUCUUCUUACUUAAUUUUUUUCAUUGAUUAAUUAAUUUACGAUUCAAAUGGUAUCUUCUCUCUCUUAUUUUUUUCUCGCAAACAGACAUCUUAAUUAGGUCCCUCAAUUAAACUUUUUUUAAUGAUUAACCAAAGUGCAUACACAAAGCAAGUCAUGUCGUUUAGCUACAAAAUGAUUCAUCCCCACCUAUUUUCUAAAAUUGUCGUACUAAUUUUGUAAUGAUUAUCGAAAGUGCAUUAUUAGAGCAGAUACAAUAGGGAUAUUAGGAAGGCUCCAAAACUUAUUAAUUAGCCUAAAACGAGAUUUAGGAAAGAAAAUCACAGAUGAGAAAGAAGCCGGCUCGCGCCGGCGCUUGCAUAGCGCCCCACGCUGUAUCGGCCAGAAGAUACAAUAAAAAAUUCGUUUGUGGGUCCUACUACUUGUUAAUUCGUUUGAACCAAAACAAUUUAUAGCUAACUUGUAGUUAGCUUGUUGUAUGAGUUACUCUUUAAGUUAGCUCUACCUGAGACAACAAAAUUUUGGAGCCUACUGCUAGCUGCACUAUUGACCUUGCUCUUAGGACGAGCACUACAUGGCUAACUAAUGCAGUAGCCACGCGGACAGAUGUUAGCUCUACCUGAGAACAAAAUUUUGGAGCCUACUGCUAGCUGCACUAUUGACCUUGCUCUUAGGACGAGGACGAGCACUACAUGGCUAACUAAUGCAGUAGCCACGCGAACAGAUGUUAGCUCUACCUGAGACAACAAAAUUUUGGUGUCUACUGCUAGCUGCACUAUUGACCUUACUCUUAGGAUGAGCACUACAUGGCUAACUAAUGCAGUAGCCACGCGGACAGAUGUUGUGGAAUAUGAUGCUACACUCCGUAUGUCAGUAUGGCGUCGCUUCGUUUGUUAAUGGCCAAGAAUUACACAAGUUACACUAGUUUUUUUUUAACAGCCGGGUGCGGACCAGGCAAAGACACCCAAUGCAAAUUACUUGCUAUGUCCACGGGUGCUGCCCUGGCCAAAAGUUCUGUACAGGCAAAAGAACACCAUUUGGUGCAUUCAGCUUUGAGCGAUUCAGACCCAUGAGGGUACUUUAUUAUCAGACUGAAAUUCAAUGUCGUAACAUGUAUCAAGGUUAACAUCUUUCUCUCCACCUGACAGUAAACCCCUAUUUUUUUACUACAAACUGAAUCCAUGUAACCAUGAGCAAAGAAUUAAAACAUCCGCACCAGGCAAUAGGAUACAUGUAUGCUUAAGGGAAAACCCACAAAAUUAGUUCUACCGCCAACGGCCUCUCAUGAAUACAUUCCUAAUCUUUCUGUCAUUUUCCCUUAUACCUAUAUCCCAAAGAUAAGAAUGGAGUUUGACAUCGCCUUAGGAAGAGAAGGUUGAAAGGACGUUCUUCUUGAUGAUGAAUUCAUCGGCCUUUGAUGGGCUGAUGGACUGCAGGAAGCAAAAAAAAUAAAAAAGUAUUGUAUAAGUACAAGUCGUUCAUUAUGUAAGAUGACAAGUGAUAGUAAAGUUUGGAUUGGCGAUCACGGUUUCCCACCUUCUCCAACAUGCGUUCAAGCCUCUCUGUUUCCUUCUUGGUAUAGUCGUGACCUUUGUCCAGGAUUUUCUUUGCAAUGGCAAUGUAGACCUUUCCAUGCCUGAUUUAAAUAUGUAAAUGCCAAGGUUCAACUUGCAUGUACAGAUAACGUCAUUGCAAAAAUAAUAAAUGCAACUUAGACUAGAGUUUACUUUGCAGCAGAACCACUGAGCUUCACAACCUCCUCUUCCAUAUUGGAGAGGAUUUCCUUCCGCUUGUCAUUGGCAGCACCAAGGAACUCCUUUGCGAGGGCAUCCAAACUUGCUAUGCGCCCCGCCUACCACAACAAUAAACAAUGUAUAGUCAGAACAGGUAGUCUUUUGCAUGAGCUCACCCAUGCAAAGAAGUUUUAUAUGCAUUCAACCAACCUCUGAAGUAAGUUGGCCCUUAGUAUCACGGCUGGUACCACACUUCUCAUUAAUGAACUUGACAAAGUCAUCCAACUCCCUGCCGCCAUCGUAAUCUUCACCAGCUUUGUUUCCCUUUGGGAAGAACUUCAAUGUAGGAUAGCCAGAAACUCCAUAUCUAAAAGUCAUAAAGCAAGUCAAAACUUAUGUAGUGCAUCAUGAAAUCAAAAUAUAGAACAAGACAUGAGUUUAAAGUGCUGGAAGCAUGCCCAUAACAUGAGUUGUUUUGUGUCCAUGGGAAAACUGUAGCAUCUCAGGGCACAAGAUUAACAGCAAUAGGAAAAACAGAACGCAGAUGAUAACAUUACGGAUAAGUCAGAACAUACUUUUCGGCCAAGUCUUUGUGUUUGUCAGCAUCAAGGUUAGCAAUUACAACUCCAUCGUCCAACUUAUAAACAGAAGCCAGCUUCUCAUAUAUCUAAAAUAAUAACAAGAAUAUUAGUUGGCACGUCGAGAACAACUGAAACUUUCAAAAGUAAACAUAACAUGUAGAACAAACUUUGGGUAGAGUUAUCCACUAACCGGAGCAAGAUGCUUGCAGUGGCCACACCUAUGGAUCAAAAUUAGCAUCCAGUCAAAAUUCAUUCAUGAAAAAUCAUGCAAAAAUUGUGUCAAGAUUAUGGAGGAAAAAAGUAAGACAACUUUACAAAAGCAUACCAUGGCGCAUAGAACUCCACAAGAAUGUCUUUGUUUUCAUCAAGAACAAUUGAGUCAAAGUUGUCUGGGCCAAGCACUACAACACUUGAAGGAAUGGUUGCCAGCUUUACAUUAGUGCCUGAAAUCAGGAAAAUUCAUGAUUAUAUGCUGUUGUAACCGAGUGAAGAGAUAAAUACAAAAAUGAAUUAACUCAAGAAGCUGUUUGUGGAAACUAAGACUUGCACACCAAACAGAAUUUUCAAGGAAAUAUGAGAUAUCCAGAACUCCCAGCCCAUGGCACCAUACCAGCUACUAACCGUCUAACUCUAUUAUUAUAAGUUUGAAGUGUUACCUCCUUCAGUGUUAACAAAUUCAGCAAGGGCCUCUGCACUGCGUUGUCCUUCAUACCUACAUGGUUGUAGUGAUAUAAAUCAUGAAAAUUUUGUCUGGUGUAGAUGUUCAAAAGUAUUUGAACAAAAGUUAUGCAGCCUCACUUUUUGGGCUCCAG
RNAcentral lists this small RNA (3177 nucleotides) under Oryza sativa Japonica Group (Japanese rice). Its description in RNAcentral is "sRNA Os01g0339950". Lineage: Eukaryota; Viridiplantae; Streptophyta; Magnoliopsida; Poales; Poaceae. The record is from RNAcentral.